AAAGUCUGAUGGAGCAACGCCGCGUGAGUGAUGAAGGUUUUCGGAUCGUAAAACUCUGUUGUAAGGGAAGAACCAGUACGUCAGGCAAUGGACGUACCUUGACGGUACCUUAUUAGAAAGCCACGGCUAACUACGUGCCAGCAGCCGCGGUAAUACGUAGGGUGCGAGCGUUGUCCGGAAUUACUGGGCGUAAAGAGCUCGUAGGCGGUUUGUCGCGUCGUCUGUGAAAUUCUGCAACUCAAUUGCAGGCGUGCAGGCGAUACGGGCAGACUUGAGUACUACAGGGGAGACUGGAAUUCCUGGUGUAGCGGUGAAAUGCGCAGAUAUCAGGAGGAACACCGGUGGCGAAGGCGGGUCUCUGGGUAGUAACUGACGCUGAGGAGCGAAAGCGUGGGGAGCGAACA
This 404-nucleotide ribosomal RNA is filed under the name uncultured bacterium. RNAcentral describes it as "bacterial SSU rRNA". It matches the Rfam family "Bacterial small subunit ribosomal RNA", at positions 378 to 774 of the family's 1533-position model. The record is from RNAcentral.